CUAUUAAACUGAGUCUGCAUUUUCUUUCUAGUAGCUGUUAACCAGUUUCACGGACUAAAUAAAUUAUGACAGUUCCCAUACAGAUAAAAUAAAUAAAUGUCUACCUUUGUCUGAAUGUCCGCACCUAGUAUUAUUAGCAUUUGAAUAGACGAGUGCCAUAUGUCGCACGUCAUAAGGGUGUGCCUUCUCUGUUCUGUCCCUGUUUCUGGAUUUUGUUUUAGGCCAUAAGGGUUCUGAAAGUGGCCAGCAGUAUAACUGAAAGUGGGGUAGAUGGAUAGUAUAUAUAUAUUGCUGAAAGUUGUCGAUAUGUAUAGGUUGCUCAUGAUGUUUGUUAGUCUUGCCUGUUGCUUUCUCCUUUCUUGGAUGGUAUUAUUACCCUCCCUUUCUUUCUUUCUUUUCCUUUCUUGGAUGGUAUUAUUACCCCUUCUCCUUUCUUGAAUAGUAUAUGUAUACUGAUGAAAGUGCUGGGAGCGGAGUUACCAUUCCUUUGCUCUGUUUCAUCUGUUUGGUGCUUGUUUUUGCUAUUGCGGGAAUGGUUAAAGUUUUGAUCUUUUUUACAUUUCUUUGUGGAAUUUAUUGUGAUAUUGCUAUUGUUAUGGUUAGUACAUUAUUAUGUGAUCCAUUCUCUCCAUUUUGGCUAUCACUGUCAGCUUUUCAGCUGUAAAUACUUUAUUGAUACAAUAGACCCUUGUUAUUGCUGUUAUAUGAUCUAUAUGUAAGAGUUCUACUAGAAUGUGAUUGCAAAGCUGCAUGCCUGCUUUCACCAAACAAUUUUUGAGUUUAUUUUGAUUUACUCUAAGUACUGCUUUUCUAAAUGCAUAUCAGUUUUCUUUGCAAAUGAAAUCAGAAAACUGUAACUGUUUAAGGGUCAAUGCUAUAUGGCCAAUGCUAUAGUACUGCUUUUCUAAAUGCAUAUCAGUCUUCUUUUAUUCUCAUUCUAAUUUUACUGGUUUAUUAUCAGGAAAUUUUUUUUUGCCCUUCUGUUCAUUAUUUCCCUUUCAUAAAGAUUAUGUUCCUCAAUAUAUAGCAUUUCAUUUGUCUUUAGGAUUCUUAUUUUGGUCAAAGAAAGGAACUGAGCAUUCCAAGAUUUGUUUUCAUUCCAAGAUUGGGGUGUUAGUAAUUCUCAGCUUAUUCUGAUGUCAACUUGUUAUUCAUUUUAGAAAGCAUUCUGAUGUCUUAUUAAUAAAGAACUCUAAGGUCUUGUUUAUCUUAAUAUUAAAUAGAAACAUGGACAAUCCAGAGCGUGAUUGGAUGUACAAAAGGUUGGAUGGCCGAGGAGGUAUUAAUUCAAGUUUCAUAACUGGUGUGAACACGUUUCUCCAGUUUGCUUGUUCUCAGCGCAAUCGCAUGAGUGGUGACAAUGUUAGAUGUCCAUGUAAAAAAUGUCACAACAUUAAAUACAUGGAUGUUGAAACUGUUAAAUUGCAUCUUUAUCAGUAUGGAUUUGUGGAGAACUAUUUUCUUUGGAAGUAUCAAGGAGAAAAAAAUGUGACCGGUGAGAUGUCUUCUAGUGGUGAUUUGCAUGGUGGCUCUCAACCUGAAUCGGGAUAUGAGAAUCCAUAUCGACAAAUGGUCUUGGAUGCAGCUGGACCCAAUUUUGGCCAUGGUUUGAACGGGCAGCCUUAUAAUAAUACUGAACCUGAGUCGUCUCAUUCUUAUGAACCUUCAAUGGACGCGGAGCCUAAUCCUUCAAUGGAGGAGGAGCCAAAUCUUGAGUGCCAAAGGUUUUAUGAUUUGCUACAGGCCGCUGACGCAAAAUUAUACCCUGGUUCUUCCCUCUCUCAACUCGCAGUAGUUUCCAGGAUGCUAAAUAUUAAAAUGGAGAAUACUUUAUUACAAAGAGGUUAUAACCAAAUGAUGCAAUUGUUGAAAGAGGCUUUACCAGAAGAUAACACAAUGCUUGAUAACUAUUAUGAGACCAAGAAGCUAGUGCGUAGCUUGGGUUUGCCCGUUGAAAAGAUUGAUUGUUGUAAUUCUGGAUGUAUGUUGUAUUGGGGUGAAGAUGAGGACCUCACAUCUUGCAAGUUUUGUGGUCACCAGAGGUACAAACGUCGUGUCGGUUCUCGUAAGAGGAAAUUAUUCCCUUACAAAAAAAAUGUAUUAUUUUCCUUUGAUUCCUAGAUUGCGGAGAUUAUAUGCAUCUCAUGCUACAACUGCUGAUAUGAGAUGGCAUCAUGAGCACAUACAAGAGGAGGGCGUCAUGCGUCAUCCAUCAGACUCGAAGGCUUGGAAGCACUUCAACGAAACUCAUCCCUUUUUUGCUGCUGAACCAAGAAAUGUGAGGUUGGGAUUAUGUACUGAUGGUUUUCAGCCCUUUGGUCAUUCAGGGAGGAAAUACUCUUCAUGGCCAGUGAUUGUCACUCCAUACAAUUUGCCUCCAGGGAUGUGUAUGAAAGAGGCGUACAUGUUCUUAACUGUCAUUGUUCCAGGGCCAAACAACCCUAAACAAAAAAUUGAUGUUUAUCUACAACCUUUAAUAAAGGAAUUGACCUUGUUGUGGGAGACGAGUGUAGAAGCAUUUGACAUCUCAAAAAAACAAAAUUUUCAAUUAAGGGCUGCUUUGAUGUGGACAAUCAAUGACUUUCCAGCAUAUUCUAUGUUAUCUGGAUGGAGUACUGUCGGUAACUUAGCAUGUCCUUAUUGUAUGGAGGAAGCACAAUCCUUCAGAUUUUGUCAUGGUGGGAAAACAACUUGGUUUGAUAGUCAUAGAAUGUUUCUUGACCAAAAUCAUCCGUUUAGGAGAGAUCGUAAAAUAAAAACUUUCGUAAAGGUCAGACUGUCAGAAGGCUACCACCGCCCCUUAGAACAGGAGAGUAAAUCUUGAACCAAAUUUGUGAGUUGGGACUGAGAAAAGUAACUGAGCUAGAUGCAGAAGAAGUUAAUGGGAGAAUUUCUCGGUGUUGUGGAUGGAAAAAGAGAAGCAUCUUUUGGGAUUUGCCUUAUUGGAGCUCUAACAUGAUCCGCCAUAAUCUCGAUGUCAUGCAUAUUGAGAAGAACGUCUUUGAUAAUGUAUUUAACACAGUUCUUAACGUUGAUGGCAAAACAAAAGACAAUCCAAAGGCACGUGAAGAUAUGGUAAACUAUUGCGAUCGACCGCAAUUGGCAAAGAAUCCUAUUGAUGGAAGCUAUCCCAAAGCUGCAUAUACAAUAGAGAAGAAUCAAAAAAUUGCCUUGUUCAAUUGGUUGGAAAAUGUGAAGUUUCCAGAUGGGUAUGUUUCGAAUUUGAGUAGGUGCCUAGACACAGACAAGUAUAAAUUAUUUGGUAUGAAAAGACAUGAUUGCCAUGUGUUCAUGCAACGAUUAAUGCCUAUUGCCUUUCGUGAGCUACUUCCUAGUAAUGUGUGGCAAGCACUUACAGAAUUGAGCUUAUUUUUUAAGGAUCUCACCUCGACUGUUCUUCGAGUGGUGGACAUGGAGAGAUUAGAGGCAGACAUCCCACAGAUCUUGUGUAAGUUGGAGCGUAUAUUUCCUCCUGGAUUCUUUAACUCAAUGGAACAUGUGCCUGUACACCUGCCAUAUGAAGCAAGGAUUGCUGGACCUGUACAAUAUAGAUGGAUGUAUCCUUUUGAGAGGUUAUUAACUUUUUAUGCUCUUAUUAUGACAAAUAUGAUACACAUGACUUUAUGAAUUUAAUGGUCUAUCCAUUUACUUGUCGAGGGUUCAAUUUGCGAAGCAUACUUGAUGAUGGAAUCAACAAAAUUGUUUUCUCAUUAUUUUGAACCUCAUGUCAUGACACGUAAUCAUAAUGUGGCCCGUAAUUAUGAUGGUGGUGUUAUGGAAGAUCUUGAAGGAAAUUUAUCAAUAUUCACUCAUCCAGGCCGACUAUGGGGAGAAGGAAAAAAGAGAAGUUUGUCCCUCGAAGAAAUCAAGGCAGCCCAAACUUAUAUUCUACUAAAUUGUGUAGAGGUUGAGCCGUUUGUAAGGUAUCAUUUAUUAAUAAUAAUAAAUAUAUCCAUAUAUUUUGAGUACGUAUUUAACUUAUUUUGUUGCAAUGAAGUAUGUACAUACAACGGUUGCAAGAAGAAUUACCCAACCUAUCUCAGGAUCAAAUAAAUGAGAGUCUCGAAACGUGUUUUGCUAUAUGGUUCAAGGAAUAUGUUCGAUGCAACCACAUUGAGAACCAAUUCUUGUGUAGUCUUGCUCAUGGACCAUUAAUAAGCGCAAAAUGUUAUCCGGUGUAUUUUGUUAAUGGAUACAAAUUUCACACGGAAUGUCAUGGUAGUGCAAGAUCAACAAUUAAUAGUGGAGUUUGUAUCUCGGAUCCAAAUGUUGGUGACUAUUAUGGACGGAUACAAGAGAUUAUACAAUUGGAAUACCGCAAAGAACCUUUAAAGCAAACUGUGUUAUUCAAGUGUGAAUGGUUUGAUCCAACUGUGAAUGUUGGUGUCAAAGAGCAUAACCAAUACAAACUAGUCGAUGUGAACCAUCGCCGUCGUUUUAACAAGUACGAACCUUUUAUUCUUGCGAUGCAAGCAACUCAAGUGUGUUAUGUGCCUUAUCCUAGCACGAAAAAGGACAAGGAUGAUUGGGUAGCUGUUUUGAAAGUUAAACCUCGGGAUGUUAUUGAACUUCCUGAUGAGGCAAUAACAUCAACUCCAGAACCGACUCUUCCAUUCCAAGUUGAAGAAGUUGAAGUCCAUUUGAUAGAUAUGAAUUUCACCACUGAUGAGAAUAUAAUCUUACAUGAUCCAAAUGGGGAUGUAAUUGAAAUGGUUGAACCCAUUAAUGAUGGACUAUUGAUAGAGAAUCAAGAGUUCGAAGAAGAAUCUUCAGAAGACGAGUAUGAAACUGAGGAUGAAAAUGAGGAGGAUGAUGAGGAAGAGUUUGAAGAAGAAACAGAUGAUGACUACUGUGUUGAUAAUGCACUACUAUAUUUUUAUUGAAUUUUGUUUUUCUAGUAAUCUGUGUGGUAUGUUAUAAGUCAUGUAUCUAUUUUGUAGUAUGAUCUAUAGAGAAUCGAAUCGAAUACCACAUUUGUAGUAAUCUAAAUGGUAUAGUACACUUCUAGCUUACGUUGUGUUGUGAAUCGAAUACCACGUUUGUAGCAUGUAGUUAGUCACCAUGUAUCUCUCCGCAUUCUAUUGAAUUUUAUAAGCUUUCAUACUAGCUUAGCUUCUGUAACUUUGCUUCUGCUUGUUUGAAUUUUCAGUAACUUAGCUUCUGCUUGUUUGAAUUUUCAGUAACUUAGCUUAUGUAACUUAGCUUCUGUAACUUAGCUUCUGCUUGUUUGAAUUUUAUAAACUUUCAUACUAACUUAGCUUCUGCUUGCUU
Molecule: RNA transcript, 5271 nt
Organism: Nicotiana attenuata
Lineage: Eukaryota; Viridiplantae; Streptophyta; Magnoliopsida; Solanales; Solanaceae
Exons: 2
Source: RefSeq, a predicted model, not a curated record